Molecule: ribosomal RNA, 430 nt
Filed under: uncultured bacterium
Lineage: Bacteria
Description: bacterial SSU rRNA
Rfam family: Bacterial small subunit ribosomal RNA
Source: RNAcentral
UGAGGAAUUUUGCACAAUGGGGGAAACCCUGAUGCAGCGACGCCGCGUGAGUGAUGAAGGUCUUCGGAUCGUAAAGCUCUGUCAGCAGGGAAGAAACGUUUGGUGGCUAAUAUCCAUUGAAUUUGACGGUACCUGCAAAGGAAGCACCGGCUAACUCUGUGCCAGCAGCCGCGGUAAUACAGAGGGUGCGAGCGUUGUUCGGAUUUACUGGGCGUAAAGGGCGCGUAGGCGGUUUUAUAAGCCAGAUGUGAAAGCCCACGGCUCAACCGUGGAAGUGCAUCUGGAACUGUAAGACUUGAGUACUGGAGGGGAGUGUGGAAUUCCCGGUGUAGAGGUGAAAUUCGUAGAUAUCGGGAGGAAUACCGGUGGCGAAGGCGACACUCUGGACAGAUACUGACGCUGAGGCGCGAAAGCGUGGGGAGCAAACAGG